CACAACUCUGAACGCGGUCCCUACCUUGGCAUAUGAGGAUGUCAACCCAACUGCUGACCCACAUUAGAUGGAGGCCCAGCAGGGACCCCGUAGAGGGAGAGGCCGAGGUUUUGCACCUAGAAAUAGGUCCAAUCCGAACCUCUCAGGAUACUGUUUGUACCACAGGUCCUACGGGCACAAUACCGCAUUGCAGAGACUAUGCACACCGCUCCCGGCAGGAACCCGCCAGAGAAAGACAUGACUCGCCCUAGGCGAACAGGCCCCCGCCCAGGCACAACCAACAUGGGCGUGAGGCGGCCGCUCCUCGUCAAAGAAAUGUAUCCCCAAGGCGAAGAGAGCAAGACACAGAGAGGCCCAGGGAAGGGCGUAGACACCGAAGAAAUAGGCAAGCUCGAGAUGAGGCCCCUAUCCACGAGAUAGAUACCAUAUUUGGAGGCCCUUAUAUUGGCGGUGAAACACGAAACGCCAAAAGAAAUUAUGCUAGGGAGGCUAAGCACCCCCCUCUGACGAGUUACAUUGUGAACAGUAGCUCUCGAAGAAACCAAGUACCAUCCAUUGUCUUCACCCAGGAACACGCCGAAGGAGUUCAUUACCCCCACUGCGAUGCGCUGGUGGUGAGGGCUGUCAUAGCCCGAAAUGGGCUCAAACGAACGCUAGCCGACAGCGGCAGCUCCGUCAACAUCCUAUUCGGGUCUGCCUUUGACAAGAUGAUAUUGGACCAUCAGUUGACGCCCACCACUACUCCAUUGUAUGGAUUUACCGGAGAUAGCAUCACUCCGAGGGGAAAGAUAACACUGGCAGUAGAGAUGGGAGAAUCUCCUCAAACUACGAUGAACUUCAUGGAAUUCCUCGUAGUUGACAGCCGGUCGGCUUACCACGGAGUCUUGGGCAGACCGGCCCUAAAGGAAUUGGGAGCAGUCACCUCCAUCCACCACCUAUGCAUGAAAUUCCCAACAGAAAAUGGGGUCGCAACGGUGAGAGGCGACCAGAGAGGCUUGAGAGAGUGCUAUCUAAGCUCCAUUAAGAAGGUAGAGCCCCGGGACGUCCACGUGAUCAUGGCUGAUAUGGUCGUGGCGGAUGUCCCAGGUGACGCUCCCACUGAUCAGGAAGAUGUUGAUAUGAUUGACGCACCGCUUAAUCAGGAGGUGCUGAUCGUUAAUGAGAUCGACCCCUGCAUAAUGGAACAUGAGUCUCAAGCAUUCCCUGUAGAGGAACUUGAGAGCUUCCCAGCCGACCCCCGAGAUCCGUCCAAGGUGUUGAAAGUAGGCAGAGGCCUAUCCAAUAUUUUGAGAGAAAAGAUUAAGGACUUCCUAGGCAAGAACCUUGACGUCUUUGCUUGGAGGCAUGAGGACAUGGUAGGCAUAGAUCCUAAGAUCAACUGCCACCACUUGAAAAUUGAUCCUAAUGUUGCCCCGCAUAGACAAAAAAGGAGAGCCCUCAACCCUGAGAGGUAUGAGGCCCUAAAGGAAGAGGUUUAGAAGCUCAUCCAAAAUGGCUUCAUUAGGGAGGCCACCUAUCCGAGG
This 1523-nucleotide long non-coding RNA is filed under the name Olea europaea subsp. europaea. Lineage: Eukaryota; Viridiplantae; Streptophyta; Magnoliopsida; Lamiales; Oleaceae. The record is from RNAcentral.